RNAcentral lists this long non-coding RNA (983 nucleotides) under Capsella rubella. RNAcentral describes it as "long non-coding RNA (CRUB_LNC002605)". The record is from RNAcentral. Lineage: Eukaryota; Viridiplantae; Streptophyta; Magnoliopsida; Brassicales; Brassicaceae.
AUCUACUCCCUGGGAUAUUACUCAGUCGCGUCUCUUUGUUUCCUUUUUAUCUCUCUGGGUGUAGAGUGUUUCUCUCCUUCCCGUUUCUUGUUCGUAGAGCUUCUAUUCGUUGUCUUCUCUGGUUCUCAUCCUCCUUUUAUUGAAGAUCCUUGCCGAGAAAUUGCGGAAAUCGUUGUGUCUCAUCCUCAUUUGUUUCUUCUUUGUCUAGCAGAAAUCGAACGGAGGGUAAGUGUUUUUUAAUUGGCUAGUUUAGGUACCAUGUUGCUUCGACUUUCUAUCUAAAUCUGAUAUUUUUUCUGGAAAAUUUUCCCUUUAAGAUGACGGAUCUGGAUCUUCCCAACCGUAUCAUUGCAUCACUAAUUAGUUGUUAGCCAUAUUGUUAUUCAAUAAUACUUUUAUUGGGCGUCACUGUUUUUUGACAGGUAACCUUUACUAUUUUGUUCUACAGGCCCAGACUAGUCCAACUAACCCGACCGAUCUGUCCACGUCGUGGACUUAGUAACAAUGUCAAUAUUGUAUAUAUCAUAUAUUAGUCGAUACCUAUUUCGUUAGUAGGAUGGUGAUCGGCUAAACCUAGUAGGCAUGUGUGACAAAGAUUCAGGGUAUUCUACUGCAAUUGUUUGUUAUUCAAUUAUUAUUUCGUUAUAAAUUAUUAAGAAGUUUAGUUGAUAAUAUUUUUCUUAGCGGAUACGAUUAGUUCUCACCUUUUAUUACCACGUUUUUUGUAGUUUGGCACAUUGGUUCGUGAUCCCCAUGUUUUUAGCUGACGAUCCGGAUAUCCAUGAUAAAUUUGUUUUGCUUAGUUCAUUUAUACGACCGGAGACACUGUUUAAAAUUGUUAUAUAUGGUUUUUAACUCCAACCGUGAUACCUUCCUAUUUAUCCUUUACAUAUUGUCGAUAAAUUAUCAGCCGCGUCCUUUUGUUUGUAUAUUAGGUGUCUGAGUUAUGCUGCCAUAAUCGCCGCCACAUGACCUCCAUGUCC